This 727-nucleotide long non-coding RNA is filed under the name Olea europaea (common olive). RNAcentral describes it as "long non-coding RNA (OEUR_LNC014819)". The record is from RNAcentral. Lineage: Eukaryota; Viridiplantae; Streptophyta; Magnoliopsida; Lamiales; Oleaceae.
UAUGAUAAUCCAGGAUUUUGUAUUUUUUGGAUAUGCAUAUAGUAUUUUAUUUUUAUUUUUAUAAUUUGUUGCGGGGAUGGGCUUUUUAGGUCUGGACAAUAUGCAUCAUCUUGGUCUCAGAAUAUGUAGGACUCCAUAUCACAUGAAAUUUAAAGAAAACGCAGCAUAAUCUAUGAUUUUGAACUUCAGAAUACUUUUUCUGAAUGCCCAAGUUGGCAAAGUUCUUUCUUGACUGUAAUGUGAUAGAAUAAUGGAGGGCAGAAUUAGUUUUUACACUUAACAGAAUUUUUCUUCUUAAUUUAUUGUUGGAUUUCUCUUUGUAUGCCAAAUUAUUCUUACCAUUGUCUCUAUGUAAAGUUCCUCUGACUAUCCAUAUUUCUGCAAGUGUUAAAAGGCAAAUAAUAUCUGUCAACUUUCUUUAAUGAUCAAACUGCCAUAUGUUCCAUCACCAUGUACUCGAGUAUUCAUAUUGUCCACAUAAGUCUCUGGUUGAUUUAGCUUUGAAACUGUUGUUUUUUAAAUUUGUAUGGUAAAUGACUACCGGUGUAUUUGAGUAUAAGUGUAAGCUUUAGAAAACACGUCCUGUUUGAUGUUCAAGUGUUUUUGAUCUACACUAUGACAAAUGAGGCAAUCCAUCACGUUGACUAAGAUUAUUUGUUUUCGAUAUUCUGUAUUACCAUGUUAAGUUAGUAUGAAUAUUUUCCCGUUCUUUUCUUCAAACAAUUCA